This is a non-coding RNA of Taeniopygia guttata (zebra finch), 2506 nucleotides long. The record is from RefSeq and is a predicted model, not a curated record. NCBI's taxonomy places the organism in Eukaryota, Metazoa, Chordata, Aves, Passeriformes, Estrildidae.
UUCCAGCCCAGCGCCGCCGAGGCGUUGCCCCAGGCCGGGCAGGGCGGCCCGGGCGGGCGGCAGGCGGAGGCGUUGGCGGCGAACGGGACCUCCAGGGCGCCGGCCAGCAGCGGCGCGGACCCGUUGCCCAGCAGGAACUCAAGACUUCUGUGACUUCAUGAUCUUUAAUGGAAAAAAACCCUAAUAAUUUACACUGGAAGGAUGCAGAGGAGCAGCAGACUCGGAUGGAGUAUGUACUGUACAAUGUCAUAAAAGUCAAAUUAGCUCAAACAACGAGCUACACUCUGUUGUUUUCUGUUAUAUAUUUAUUCUCUUAUCUAUUCAGAGGUUUUGCUGACCUCUGGAUCUGUGGUGGGCUGUGAGAAAUAGCACAGUGGACAUCACUUUUGUAUUCUCUCUGUCAAUGAAUACUGUUUCAUUUAUCAGGUUCAUCAUGUCAUUAGAUAAUUCUGGUCAACAGUUGUUAGCAAUUUCUGAGAUGUCUUCUUUUGAAGACUUUGCAGAAAUUCUUAAAUACAGUGAAUGUGUGCACAGACUUUUCUGUAGGAUUGAGUUUAGAUAGAAAAAAAAAUCACUUAAAUAGCAAUUUGACUGUGUGUAUGCACUUUUGAAAAUUGAAUGAAUGUGUGCUUCAGUGGUACAGGAACAUGCACCAGAAAAUGCAUUUUUGAACUCUGAGUUUAUUUGAUUUGGCCUAAAAUCAACCUGAUUAGAAGUGGUAAGAAUUUACUUAAAAUGGGCUUAAACUGCUUUUACUAGGAAAAAAAAAAGCUUUUUUUUUCUUAUUGUAGCAAUUUUGAUACCAGUUUUGCUUGUGAUAACCUCACCAAUGUUGGGAUAACACAAAACCCAGCUGACUUGCAUCCAUCCAGAUCAAUACACUACAGGUAAACUGUGGUUACACCACCUCCUGAUGAAAAAUUGAAUGGAAACAUGCUAAUUUAUUCCUAGAUUCAUACAUCAGUCUUCUGGCUGAGUAAAACAAUGACAAUUUAAUGGCACACCAAGAUAAAAAAUACCCUUUAUAGCCUCAAUCUUCCAACAGACAAGGUAUAUUUUCCCCCAGAGAAGAAAGUGCUUCUGCAGUGACACCAUGUUUCUGUUAACUUUCCCUCAAAGAUUUAAAGCCUUGCAGCUUUUUGUUCUGUUUUGUUGGGUUUUUUUUGUUUUUUUUUUUUUUUUUUUCAGAGUAUUUUUCAGGCUGUUGGUAUUCUGCAAUUUAUGUGAUCAAUCCUAUUUAACUAGCACACCUUGAAUGUCAAAUUAUGACUAUCUGUCCUAAAAAAUGUUUAUGAAAUACCUUGCUGCAGAAGGGGAAAGCCAUUUAUGAAAUGCUGUUGACUGCAGACAUCCUGGAUUCAGCUUUUCAGCCAGGUGUUAAAUUCACAGAAGAGCCCUGCAACACUACAAGAAACAAAAAUAACCCAGACAAAAAUGUUGUAUGCACAAGUAGUGCCUAAGAACAGAUGAGAAGUGCUGUUAAAUUAAUAUAUAGCUUUCUACGAGCUAAUAAUUUGGUUUUACUAAAAAAAAAAAAAAUCGUAGACAGUCCAUAAAACUCAGCACUGGGAAGGAAAUAGGACAAAUUUAGUUACCAGCUAAGUAUAUGUUCAAUUCCUGUCAAACAAACCAAUUCAGCCUGUUUUAAUUUAACUUUACUACUGAGAUAGUAAAGUUAAAUUGUAAACUGUUUUUGGCUUAUUGCAGAGUUGUUUGAAAAUAGAUUCAAGAUAUUUCAUAUUUAUUGCAGCAAAUGUCACAGUGAAGCAAUUAUUGAAGCUAGAAUUAACAAUAUAUUUCAGAAUUAUUUACAUUAACAGAUGUUCAUGCAUAUGCUGUUUAUUUUCACAAAGAAAAAUACCAGUACAGAGGUUCUAGUACUUUUAUGAUAUUGAUUUUCAAGGUAGUGAAGAGGUUAUAUGUACACACAGACAAGUGUACAGAUGGUAAAUGAGACCAUCAGUCCAUGCUUCAUUUGUUCACUGGUGAAAUCAGUGGGAUUCCCUUCUGAGACUGGCUGCUUCCCUGUGUCUUUAAACGGAGCCUAAGCUGGGUGACUGAGAUGUAGGCAUGUCCCUGUAGGCACCAGAAUGCCAUCCCUGGCAUCUAUUCAGUGUAUGCCAUUAGAGCCUCUUCCCCUUGAAGCCUUUUAUCUCUGAAAGUUAAAGAUAUCUGACUUCUGUAAUUGUUUUCCCAAUAAAAUCAACUCUUUGUUCUGCACCCCAGAGGAUACUACAAUUUUGUCUCCAGGAUGUUUUUCAUUCUCCCUGCUGAAACAAACAUUUUUUUCUGCUCUUCAAUUUUGUUGCUGUUUUUAUUGUUGUUAUUGUUUAGAGAUGUAUAUAUUAUAUAUGCUCAGCAAACUAUUUGAUCACAGGGCUAUAUCAACAGUUAUGGGUUUCAUAUUAGCAGAUAAUGUUUUACUAGCCUUUUCUGGAUAAAAUUGUAAGGGGGUUUUUACAUCUAACAACAGUCUUUUGUUGAGGCAAGGAUUUCUAAUGAAAAA